AUUUGGAAAAGGAAAGCAUGAGAAGCACACUACAGAGACUGAUCUAGAGAAGUUAUCACUGUGCUGGGUGGGAGUCAUUCAUCUGUCUGCUCUGGGAGUUACAGAUUCACAUGAAGUCCCAGGAUAGCUUCUGUCGGCUUUGGUGGCCUGUUGCAGCAGCCAGCAGCAGGAAACUUGAGGAGCUAUCAUCUCAGGAAUGAACGGGGCCACAUCAAUAAGGCCAGACACGGUGGCCCACGCCUGUAAUCCCAGCAC
RNAcentral lists this long non-coding RNA (255 nucleotides) under Homo sapiens (human). RNAcentral's name for it is "HSALNT0393659". The record is from RNAcentral. Lineage: Eukaryota; Metazoa; Chordata; Mammalia; Primates; Hominidae.